AAAAAUCCAAGAGUUAAAAAAGAGAGAGAAGAGGAGAGGAGAGGAGAGGAGAGGAGAGAGAGAAGGUUUGAUGUGGUUGUCGAGAUGCUAACAGAGAGGCACAUGCAAAGCUUAAAUGAUGGUAUCGCUGGUGGCCAAAGCAUCUCCUUAAAGCUGUCCUUUUUCAUCUUAAGUCCUCUUUCUUUUUUUUUUCUUUUUUUUUUUUAUAUUUC
This 212-nucleotide long non-coding RNA is filed under the name Capsella rubella. RNAcentral describes it as "long non-coding RNA (CRUB_LNC001924)". Lineage: Eukaryota; Viridiplantae; Streptophyta; Magnoliopsida; Brassicales; Brassicaceae. The record is from RNAcentral.